AAUCUCUCCUUCAAUUGAUAUCUUCUUCAUCAUCCCACCGUUUCUCAAGGCUCUCUCUCUCUAUCUUUCUUUCUGUUUUUAUUUUAUUUUUCUCUCUCAAAUGGAAGGGAGAGAAGAGCUCCCAUGGAUGGAAAGGUCAAGGCCAAAGGUUCUUCAAGGCAAUAAGAGAAACAUAAACCAUGUGAAGCAUAUGGAUUAUUGGAUCGGUUGUGCUGAGAAAUUGGGCUUUUCUUCUGAACUCCAGUUUCAUUGAUCAACCGGUGUUAUCCUCUCUGAGCUUUUAGUCCCUCCAUUUUUUUUCCAAUUAUUAUGUUUCAUUCAUAUGAUGCAUUGCAUUAUUCUCUUUUCUUGACCUUGUAAGGCCUUUUCUUGACCUUGUAAGACCCCAUCCCUUUCUAAAUGUGUCAGUAUUUUCUCAUUUUACAGAUUCUAUUCUAUCUCUUCUCCACAUAGAAUAGAUAUCUAUCUCUACCUCUAAUUCGUUCGAGUCAUCUUCUCCUACCUUGUCUAUCCCUCCUGAGCUAAUCUUUACAUCUUUUGAUUGUCAUUGAUGUACAGCUUUGAUAUAAAUUCAAUAAAGAAGUUGAACGUUUCCCUUCUUCUUAUAUGA
Molecule: long non-coding RNA, 610 nt
Organism: Camelina sativa (false flax)
Lineage: Eukaryota; Viridiplantae; Streptophyta; Magnoliopsida; Brassicales; Brassicaceae
Source: RefSeq, a predicted model, not a curated record